GACGAACCGUGCAAACGUUGUUCGGAAUCACUGGGCUUAAAGGGCGCGUAGGCGGGGGACCAAGUCCGGGGUGAAAUCUUUCGGCUCAACCGGAAAACUGCCUUGGAUACUGGUCUUCUUGAGGGAGGUAGGGGCAGGUGGAACUUCCGGUGGAGCGGUGAAAUGCGUUGAUAUCGGAAGGAACGCCGGUGGCGAAAGCGACCUGCUGGAUCUCUUCUGACGCUGAGGCGCGAAAGCUAGGGGAGCGAACGGG
RNAcentral lists this ribosomal RNA (253 nucleotides) under uncultured bacterium. Its description in RNAcentral is "partial 16S ribosomal RNA". It matches the Rfam family "Bacterial small subunit ribosomal RNA", at positions 524 to 776 of the family's 1533-position model. The record is from RNAcentral.